UACGUAGGGUGCGAGCGUUAAUCGGAAUUACUGGGCGUAAAGCGUGCGCAGGCGGUUCGCCAAGUCAGGUGUGAAAUCCCCGGGCUUAACCUGGGAAUUGCGCUUGAAACUAGCGGGCUUGAGUGCGGCAGAGGGGGGCGGAAUUCCACGUGUAGCAGUGAAAUGCGUAGAGAUGUGGAGGAACACCGAUGGCGAAGGCAGCCCCCUGGGUCGACACUGACGCUCAUGCACGAAAGCGUGGGGAGCAAACAGG
This 253-nucleotide ribosomal RNA is filed under the name uncultured bacterium. RNAcentral's name for it is "partial 16S ribosomal RNA". It matches the Rfam family "Bacterial small subunit ribosomal RNA", at positions 524 to 776 of the family's 1533-position model. The record is from RNAcentral.